RNAcentral lists this ribosomal RNA (492 nucleotides) under uncultured bacterium. RNAcentral's name for it is "partial 16S ribosomal RNA". It matches the Rfam family "Bacterial small subunit ribosomal RNA", at positions 29 to 507 of the family's 1533-position model. The record is from RNAcentral.
AGUGAACGCUGGCGGUAGGCCUAACACAUGCGAGUCGAACGGCAGCACAGUAAGAGCUUGCUCUUACGGGUGGCGAGUGGCGGACGGGUGAGGAAUACAUCGGAAUCUACUUUUUCGUGGGGGAUAACGUAUGGAAACUUACGCUAAUACCGCAUACGACCUACGGGUGAAAGCAGGGGAUCUUCGGACCUUGCGCGAUUGAAUGAGCCGAUGUCGGAUUAGCUAGUUGGCGGGGUAAAGGCCCACCAAGGCGACGAUCCGUAGCUGGUCUGAGAGGAUGAUCAGCCACACUGGAACUGAGACACGGUCCAGACUCCUACGGGAGGCAGCAGUGGGGAAUAUUGGACAAUGGGCGCAAGCCUGAUCCAGCCAUACCGCGUGGGUGAAGAAGGCCUUCGGGUUGUAAAGCCCUUUUGUUGGGAAAGAAAAGCAGCAGGUUAAUACCCCGCUGUUCUGACGGUACCCAAAGAAUAAGCACCGGCUAACUUCGUG